Molecule: ribosomal RNA, 275 nt
Filed under: uncultured bacterium
Lineage: Bacteria
Description: partial 16S ribosomal RNA
Rfam family: Bacterial small subunit ribosomal RNA
Source: RNAcentral
CCUACGGGUGGCUGCAGUAAGGAAUAUUGGACAAUGGUCGGAAGACUGAUCCAGCCAUGCCGCGUGAAGGAUGAAGGCGCUCAGCGUUGUAAACUUCUUUUGGACGGGAACAAAAUGUGGGAUUCAUCCUGCACUGAGGGUACCGUCAGAAUAAGCACCGGCUAACUCCGUGCCAGCAGCCGCGGUAAUACGGAGGGUGCAAGCGUUAUCCGGAAUCACUGGGUUUAAAGGGUGCGUAGGCGGUCUGAUAAGUCAGUCGUGAAAUCGCUGGGCUC